RNAcentral lists this ribosomal RNA (493 nucleotides) under uncultured bacterium. Its description in RNAcentral is "partial 16S ribosomal RNA". It matches the Rfam family "Bacterial small subunit ribosomal RNA", at positions 30 to 523 of the family's 1533-position model. The record is from RNAcentral.
AUUGAACGCUGGCGGCAUGCCUUACACAUGCAAGUCGAACGGUAACAGGUUAAGCUGACGAGUGGCGAACGGGUGAGUAAUGUAUCGGAACGUGCCCAGUUGUGGGGGAUAACUGCUCGAAAGAGCAGCUAAUACCGCAUACGACCUGAGGGUGAAAGCGGGGGAUCGCAAGACCUCGCGCAAUUGGAGCGGCCGAUAUCAGGUUAGGUAGUUGGUGGGGUAAAGGCUCACCAAACCGACGAUCUGUAGCUGGUCUGAGAGGACGACCAGCCACACUGGGACUGAGACACGGCACAGACUCCUACGGGAGGCAGCAGUGGGGAAUUUUGGACAAUGGGCGCAAGCCUGAUCCAGCCAUGCCGCGUGCGGGAAGAAGGCCUUCGGGUUGUAAACCGCUUUUGUCAGGGAAGGAACGCUCUGGGUUAAUACCCUGGGGUAAUGACGGUACCUGAAGAAUAAGCACCGGCUAACUACGUGCCAGCCGCCGCGGUAA